RNAcentral lists this unclassified non-coding RNA (322 nucleotides) under Melitaea cinxia (Glanville fritillary). RNAcentral's name for it is "misc RNA ENSMCXG00005019560.1". The record is from RNAcentral. Lineage: Eukaryota; Metazoa; Arthropoda; Insecta; Lepidoptera; Nymphalidae.
GAGUUUCCCUCGAUUUCUCUGGGAUCCCAUCAUCAGAUCCUGGUUUCCUUAUUACGGUACCAAACUAGGGAUAUCCCCUUUCCAACGAAAAAAGAAUUAUCAAAAUCGGUACAUCCAGUAGAAAGUUAUGCGGUAUAAUACAACGUAGGUCGACGAAAAAAGCGUCAAGUAAAAACGCAUUAUUAGAUAUAACUCAAAAAGUAGUUGUUAGAUCUCAAAUAAAUUUAAAUGGGACCAAUUGGCACACAGUACCUUUCGAUUGAAACAAAAUUUGUCGAAAUCGGUCUACCCGGUCAAAAGUUCUGAUGUAACAUACAUAAAA